AAAGGAGUGCUAAUACCGCAUGAUGCAGUUGAGUCGCAUGGCUCUGACUGCCAAAGAUUUAUCGCUCUGAGAUGGCCUCGCGUCUGAUUAGCUAGUAGGCGGGGUAACGGCCCACCUAGGCGACGAUCAGUAGCCGGACUGAGAGGUUGACCGGCCACAUUGGGACUGAGACACGGCCCAGACUCCUACGGGAGGCAGCAUG
This 202-nucleotide ribosomal RNA is filed under the name uncultured bacterium. RNAcentral's name for it is "partial 16S ribosomal RNA". It matches the Rfam family "Bacterial small subunit ribosomal RNA", at positions 154 to 353 of the family's 1533-position model. The record is from RNAcentral.